RNAcentral lists this ribosomal RNA (469 nucleotides) under uncultured bacterium. RNAcentral's name for it is "partial 16S ribosomal RNA". It matches the Rfam family "Bacterial small subunit ribosomal RNA", at positions 28 to 507 of the family's 1533-position model. The record is from RNAcentral.
GACGAACGCUGGCGGCGUGCUUAACACAUGCAAGUCGAACGGAAAGGCCCUGCUUGCAGGGUGCUCGAGUGGCGAACGGGUGAGUAACACGUGGGUGAUCUGCCCCUUACUUUGGGAUAAGCCUGGGAAACUGGGUCUAAUACUGGAUAGGACCAUGCUGUAGGUGGUGUGGUGGAAAGAUUAGUUUCGGUAAGGGAUGAGCUCGCGGCCUAUCAGCUUGUUGGUGGGGUAAUGGCCUACCAAGGCGUCGACGGGUAGCCGGCCUGAGAGGGUGGACGGCCACAUUGGGACUGAGAUACGGCCUAGACUCCUACGGGAGGCAGCAGUGGGGAAUAUUGCACAAUGGGCGCAAGCCUGAUGCAGCGACGCCGCGUGGGGGAUGACGGCCUUCGGGUUGUAAACUCCUUUCAGCCAUGACGAAGCCCUUGUGGUGACGGUAGUGGUAGAAGAAGCACCGGCUAACUACGUG